UCGCCUAAGGAGUGGGCGUCCGGCGGAAACUACAGGACUUGGGACCGGAAGACUUGAGGGGUACGUCUGGGGUAGGAGUGAAAUCCUGUAAUCCUGGACGGACCGCCGAUAGCGAAAGCACCUCAAGACGACGGAUCCGACAGUGAGGGACGAAAGCUAGGGUCUCGAACCGGAUUAGAUACCCGGGUAGUCCUAGCUGU
Molecule: ribosomal RNA, 200 nt
Filed under: uncultured archaeon
Lineage: Archaea
Description: partial 16S ribosomal RNA
Rfam family: Archaeal small subunit ribosomal RNA
Source: RNAcentral